Molecule: small nuclear RNA, 194 nt
Organism: Polypterus senegalus (gray bichir)
Lineage: Eukaryota; Metazoa; Chordata; Cladistia; Polypteriformes; Polypteridae
Product: U2 spliceosomal RNA
Exons: 1
Source: RefSeq, a predicted model, not a curated record
UGUGCAUCAGCCGCCUAUUGGCUAAGAUCAAGCGUAGCAUUCUUUAUCAGUUUAAUAUCGAUACGCCCCCAUCUGGGACCAUAUAUAUUAAAUUGGAUUUUUGGAACAGGGAGAUGGAGAGGGGCUUUGUUCUCAUUCCCCGCAUCUAAUGUGAUCGACUCAGGUAUUGCAGUACCUAGAGCGGUAAAAAUUCU